CCUACGGGGGGCAGCAGUGGGGAAUAUUGCACAAUGGGCGAAAGCCUGAUGCAGCAACGCCGCGUGAAGGAAGACGGUUUUCGGAUUGUAAACUUCUAUCAAUAGGGAAGAAAGAAAUGACGGUACCUGACUAAGAAGCCCCGGCUAACUACGUGCCAGCAGCCGCGGUAAUACGUAGGGGGCAAGCGUUAUCCGGAUUUACUGGGUGUAAAGGGAGCGUAGGCGGCCACGCAAGUCAGAAGUGAAAACCCGGGGCUCAACCCUGGGAGUGCUUUUGAAACUGUGCGGCUAGAGUGUCGGAGGGG
This 305-nucleotide ribosomal RNA is filed under the name uncultured bacterium. Its description in RNAcentral is "bacterial SSU rRNA". It matches the Rfam family "Bacterial small subunit ribosomal RNA", at positions 338 to 657 of the family's 1533-position model. The record is from RNAcentral.